Molecule: ribosomal RNA, 846 nt
Filed under: uncultured bacterium
Lineage: Bacteria
Description: bacterial SSU rRNA
Rfam family: Bacterial small subunit ribosomal RNA
Source: RNAcentral
AGAGUUUUAUUUUGGCUCAGGAUGAACGCCGGCGGUGUGCCUAAUACAUGCAAGUCGUACGCACUGGCCCAACUGAUUGAUGGUGCUUGCACCUGAUUGACGUUGGAUCACCAGUGAGUGGCGGACGGGUGAGUAACACGUAGGUAACCUGCCCCGGAGCGGGGGAUAACAUUUGGAAACAGAUGCUAAUACCGCAUAACAACAAAAGCCACAUGGCUUUUGUUUGAAAGAUGGCUUUGGCUAUCACUCUGGGAUGGACCUGCGGUGCAUUAGCUAGUUGGUAAGGUAACGGCUUACCAAGGCGAUGAUGCAUAGCCGAGUUGAGAGACUGAUCGGCCACAAUGGAACUGAGACACGGUCCAUACUCCUACGGGAGGCAGCAGUAGGGAAUCUUCCACAAUGGGCGCAAGCCUGAUGGAGCAACACCGCGUGAGUGAAGAAGGGUUUCUGCUCGUAAAGCUCUGUUGUUGGAGAAGAACGUGCGUGAGAGUAACUGUUCACGCAGUGACGGUAUCCAACCAGAAAGUCACGGCUAACUACGUGCCAGCAGCCGCGGUAAUACGUAGGUGGCAAGCGUUAUCCGGAUUUAUUGGGCGUAAAGCGAGCGCAGGCGGUCGCUUAGGUCUGAUGUGAAAGCCUUCGGCUUAACCGAAGAAGUGCAUCGGAAACCGGGCGACUUGAGUGCAGAAGAGGACAGUGGAACUCCAUGUGUAGCGGUGGAAUGCGUAGAUAUAUGGAAGAACACCAGUGGCGAAGGCGGCUGUCUGGUCUGCAACUGACGCUGAGGCUCGAGAGCAUGGGUAGCGAACAGGAUUAGAUACCCUGGUAGUCCAUGCCGUAAACGAU